CAGUCGCCGCGGGAAUACAGAGGGUGCGAGCGUUAAUCGGAUUUACUGGGCGUAAAGCGUGCGUAGGCGGCUUCUUAAGUCGGAUGUGAAAUCCCUGAGCUUAACUUAGGAAUUGCAUUCGAUACUGGGAAGCUAGAGUAUGGGAGAGGAUGGUAGAAUUCCAGGUGUAGCGGUGAAAUGCGUAGAGAUCUGGAGGAAUACCGAUGGCGAAGGCAGCCAUCUGGCCUAAUACUGACGCUGAGGUACGAAAGCAUGGGGAGCAAACAGGAUUAGAUACCCCGUAGUCCCUGUCUCUUAUACA
RNAcentral lists this ribosomal RNA (301 nucleotides) under uncultured bacterium. RNAcentral describes it as "partial 16S ribosomal RNA". It matches the Rfam family "Bacterial small subunit ribosomal RNA", at positions 509 to 808 of the family's 1533-position model. The record is from RNAcentral.